Molecule: long non-coding RNA, 2558 nt
Organism: Myotis myotis
Lineage: Eukaryota; Metazoa; Chordata; Mammalia; Chiroptera; Vespertilionidae
Exons: 2
Source: RefSeq, a predicted model, not a curated record
CAGUGGAACCAACCAUGUGAUGAGAGGGUUGGAACAUUCAGUCCCUCCAUCCCCACCUCUGGAGAGGGGAGAGGUGCUGGAGAGAAAGUUCAAUCACCAGUGGUCAGCAACUUAAUCAUCACACCUACCCAAUGCAGCCUCUGAAAGCACAGGGUUAAAGAGCUUCUGGGCUGCGGCACACGUGGAGGUGCUGGGAGUGUGGUGCUUGGGGAGGGCAUGGAAGUGUGAGCUACUCUAGCACAUGAAUAAAACCUGAGGAGGGGGCGUGGGAACCUCUCAUUUAUAGCCAGUUGGUCAGAAGUACAGGAAACAACUGGUGCUUCUGAUUGGAGUCUAAAGUCCCAGAAGGGGUUGUGGGAACCUCCAAUAUGUAACAGAUGAACAAUGAACGGCAAAGGAGCAAUGGAAGAGGGUCACUUAGAAAGCUGGUGCCUAUCAUCCCAACAAGAGACAGAUAAUAAGGGACAAGAGGAUGGAGAAACAUGGCAAACUGAAGACAUAUUUGGAGGUGGACAAGUACCUUCUAGGCAUUUCUUAGCAAGAUUAAGAAGACUAAGAAAAAUACUUCCCGAUUCUGGAUUGCAUGACUGGGUUAAUGGUGAUGUCAUUUCCUGAGACAGGAAACACUGGAAGCUGAACAGCUUUGGGGGGUAAAGUUUGAAGAUGCUGAGUUCAAUUUCCAACAAGUCCGGUUUGGGUUACAGCACUCGGUUAAAUGAAAAAUAAAGCAUAGUGUCUGACCCAGGGGUUCACAGUGUAAGAGAAAAAUAAUGAACACGUUCUCAUAAUUCAGCAUAAUAAAAGGCUAAGUAGAGAUAUGCAGAAUGUUUGCCUAGUCGGGAUGGGUGAAGUUAUAAUGUGGUAACGAAUAAACACCAGACAAAGCUCAGUGACUCAGCCAACAAGAGUUGACACUGCGCUUAUACGAAGUCUGAUGCAGGUUCAAGGGCUUCCCAGAGCAUCUCCCUCCAUGUGGUAUGUCCAGGCCAUUUCUAUCUUGUGGUGUUGCCGUCUCCAUAAUGGCCAACAGCAGAAGAAAGAGUUGGAAGGUCAUGCACCAACUCUUAAGUGUUUGGGAUCAGAACUGGCACAUCUCACUUCCGCUCAAAGUCACACGGCCUUACCUCGUUAGAAGGGAGUUGGGAAUGUGGGCAUCAAAAGGCUAUUCAGUGAGGAGCAAGGUUUCUGCCACAGACAUGAAAUGAGAGCAAUGAAUUAUAUGGGAGAGUCAGGAAAUCGUUCAGAGGGAGGCCAUGUCUAUGCUGGAUCUGAAGGAAGUCGAGGAGGUGGCCUUGAGAUGAAUCCAGAGGAAGGAUUCUGCAGCCGGAGGGAGCAUCAUGUGCGAGGACACAAACACGGAGGAGCUCGAGAUGCCGGAGGUGCCUGGGAAACGGCAAGAAGAAACUAGUAAUUAAAAUAGAGGGUUUUGGGGAAGUAGAAGAAAAUAAGGUAAGUUAUAAAAAUUGGGGAAGGCAUGAAUACUCUAAGGAGGCUGGAUUCUGAUCUGCAGGCCACUGGUUUUUAGACAAGUAAGUUUAUCAGCUUGGUGAGGAAAAACGACUAGAAAGAGGAGAGACUGAAGGUAGGAAAAGCAUCAAGGAGACUGUCAUAUAGUCCACGAGAGAGGUGAUGAGGCUCAACCUUGGAAGAUGCAAGGGAGAUGUAUCUACUUAGGAGAUAAAAUGGGCAGGACUUGGAAAGUGACAUGGGAGAGUGACGGGGGAGGAGCUGUGGAGGACGAAUUUGAGGUUUUUAACCUGCUCUGUUCAAUAGACAGUGAAGCCAUGAACAGAUGCAGGGAAAACAGCCAUCGGAACACAUUUAAGAGUAAAACUAACUGUUUCUACGUGUAGAAACUCAAGACUCUAGAAUCAUCCUUUGUCAGAGUUUGUUCGCCAACAACUAAUCUAUACACAUGUUGUAAUAAUAUUUUCCUUUUAAAAAAGUCCUAGUCUAUGGAAACACGGAAGGAGUAGAUUUUGUUUUUAGCUAAAACCACCCCUUUCUUUGAGUCUUGGUCCAGUUUCUACUGCCUCCGGGAUCCGAUGUGCCUGGAGCGUGGAAGCAUCUGGAGCACCACACUUCCUCACUCCAGCCAAAACAAGUCCACUCAUCUGUGGCUUAUCUCAUAUCCGCCCUCUAGAUCUCCUGGGAGGAUACAGCCCUUACUUCUAAAAUAAUGUGCAGAGAACAAAAAUAGUGUGGAAAGAAGUUUUUGAACAUGAUCUCUGUAAUUGCUUUUCAAAAUAACUUACUCAAAGUUAACAUAAGUUAAUGUUUGUGUUUCAAUAUUGCUUGGUUUUGAUAAAGUUUGUUAUGAUUUUGUGUGUGUAUUCGUGUGGGCAUUCAUUUAACUUUGGGGGAAUCAUUUUUUUGUAAUAAGAAAAGAAAGUCUUAGGUUCUGUUGUUUCCUCUCCUGACUGACUUCAUAACUUGUGGUAAGCCACUUGACCUUUUGACAAUUAAGCCCUUGACUGUGAAACAGGAUAAUACUGUAAUAUUUAACUCUCCUAUGAGAAUAUGAUUGUGAUUUAUUCAAUUAAAGGCUUUGAAACACU